Molecule: long non-coding RNA, 492 nt
Organism: Peromyscus eremicus (cactus mouse)
Lineage: Eukaryota; Metazoa; Chordata; Mammalia; Rodentia; Cricetidae
Exons: 2
Source: RefSeq, a predicted model, not a curated record
UACCUCUUUCUUGGCUGCCACCUUUGUCUGGCUCUGAUACCAAGAAAACAGCACCCAUAUUCCAUAAACAAAGAAACCGAGUAGCGUAAGGCUGAGAUCUGUCGGCAGGGGGAAAGCGAGCCCCCAUAUUAGGGACAUUUCUCAAGCCUAUGCCCCUCUCAACUACUGAGUGUCUGUCUCUAGACUGAGAUUCCAUGACAUCACAAUAGACAGUAUCAGGUAAAGCCAGUGUACACUCAGGUCCCAGCUGAUGCCCUUCCCUGUGGCUGACCUUGACCUUGGCUCUGAGCUCUAAUAGCCAAAGCUCAGGGAAGAAUCCAUCUAUGAAUCUUCUAGGGUCCAGGCAGACAAACUCGUCACUAAGGAAGGAGUGGCGAGGUGACAUCCUCCCUGUUCCACAUCUGGACUCUACCAGCAAAGGGUCUGUCACCAGAUGUGACCUGUCAACACUGCUUCAACUCAGAGCCAAAAUAAAGUUCUUUUCUUGAUCAA